This 461-nucleotide ribosomal RNA is filed under the name uncultured bacterium. RNAcentral describes it as "SSU rRNA". It matches the Rfam family "Bacterial small subunit ribosomal RNA", at positions 26 to 518 of the family's 1533-position model. The record is from RNAcentral.
AGAAUCAACGCUGGCGGCGUGCCUAACACAUGCAAGUCGAACGAGAAAGUGGAGCAAUCCAUGAGUAAAGUGGCGCACGGGUGAGUAACACGUGACUAACCUACCCUUGAGUGGGGGAUAACCUAGGGAAACCUGGGCUAAUACCGCAUAAUACCUUCGGGUCAAAGGAGCAAUUCGCUUAAGGAGGGGGUCGCGGCCGAUUAGUUAGUUGGCGGGGUAAUGGCCCACCAAGACUGUGAUCGGUAUCCGGCCUGAGAGGGCGCACGGACACACUGGAACUGAAACACGGUCCAGACUCCUACGGGAGGCAGCAGUGGGGAAUUUUGCGCAAUGGGGGAAACCCUGACGCAGCAACGCCGCGUGGAGGAUGAAGCCCCUUGGGGCGUAAACUCCUUUCGAUCGGGACGAUAAAUGACGGUACCGGAAGAAGAAGCCCCGGCUAACUUCGUGCCAGCAGCCGC